Pelobates cultripes (western spadefoot toad) is the source of this 294-nucleotide non-coding RNA. Lineage: Eukaryota; Metazoa; Chordata; Amphibia; Anura; Pelobatidae. The record is from the annotation of a GenBank genome assembly.
AGCAUCAGUUAGCGGACCAAAUGGAAGCGCCUCUACUGGCUGUUUGGUAGACCGACACUAGACUAGAGGAUGUCUUAGUGCUGCAAUGUAAACCUAAAACUGUUUCUAUAAAACUGCAAUGUUUUACAUUGCAGCACUAAGUGCAAUAGGGACAUUCUACCCAGACCAUUUCAAUGAGCUUAAGUAGUCUGGGUGUCUAUAGUGUGCCUUUAAUAAAACCACUCAUUACAAAUGGGCAGGUACCUCCAUGUAAGAGGUGGCUUGGAUAUGGUGCAGUCUUUUCCAAAAUUUUGU